RNAcentral lists this ribosomal RNA (504 nucleotides) under uncultured bacterium. RNAcentral describes it as "bacterial SSU rRNA". It matches the Rfam family "Bacterial small subunit ribosomal RNA", at positions 28 to 507 of the family's 1533-position model. The record is from RNAcentral.
GACGAACGCUGGCGGCGUGCCUAACACAUGCAAGUCGAACGGAGAAUUUUAUUUCGGUAGAAUUCUUAGUGGCGAACGGGUGAGUAACGCGUAGGCAACCUGCCCUUUAGACGGGGACAACAUUCCGAAAGGAGUGCUAAUACCGGAUGUGAUCAUUGUGCCGCAUGGCAGGAUGAAGAAAGAUGGCCUCUACAAGUAAGCUAUCGCUAAAGGAUGGGCCUGCGUCUGAUUAGCUAGUUGGUAGUGUAACGGACUACCAAGGCGAUGAUCAGUAGCCGGUCUGAGAGGAUGAACGGCCACAUUGGGACUGAGACACGGCCCAAACUCCUACGGGAGGCAGCAGUGGGGAAUCUUCCGCAAUGGACGAAAGUCUGACGGAGCAACGCCGCGUGAGUGAUGAAGGAUUUCGGUCUGUAAAGCUCUGUUGUUUAUGACGAACGUGCAGUGUGUGAACAAUGCAUUGCAAUGACGGUAGUAAACGAGGAAGCCACGGCUAACUACGUG